UGAAGGCAGUGUAUUACAUCAGACUAAAACAAAGGCCUAGGAAAGGGAAUGUCAUCUCAAUCGGUGAAGACACCUGCAUUACAUCAAAGUUAUCAAAACUGCAGAGGGGAGCAAUCACAGAAAAUGCCACUCAGAGUCGAGAGAGGUGCCAGACAGGUGGCCAAAUAGAGAGAGAACCAAACAGCUCAAGUGGGAGAAACAAACACAGAGAUGUUUCUUUUAAAAACCUCUUUUUCACUAUCAGAGGCCUUCAGGAACUUCUUCAUCCAGCAAGACCAGGCUAUCAAUCCAGAGCUCUGUCAUCGGCUAGAGAGGCCUUCAGUAAAAGCCUUUAGGAAAAACCUAUGUAGCCUUGCUGGCUGCAGCAAAAGAAAUAGGCUGAGCCAUGUGAGGCCUGGCUGCAACUGUCCAAAGCUUCUUCCAAAAUGUUGAUGGCAUUGUCACCUUGAAAUUUCUAUCAGAUAAAAAUUGUGGAUUUAGAUUUGCCUAGCAUUGUUUAAAUGUGAGCAACAUAAAAUAUAUUGAAAAAUCCUAAUUGCAAAAAACCCUAAAAGAAGUUAUAACAGAGGGUGUGCAUUGGGCAAGAACAUUAAAGUGAAAGAUUCUUAUCACAAAUAGAUAAUGAAGAAAAACUUUGCUAUCAGCAUAUCUGGAAUGUUGUUCUGAAAUAUAUAAGGCUUCCUAAAGUCAAAUUGGUACUUGGCCAGAUGAAUUCUUCUGGUUAUAAUACUUUAGAAACAAAAACAUUUGCAUUUACUGACAGAAUGAGGGAUAUGACAGACAGGGGAAUAUUGCAUUGCAUCUGACUCAAGACCACUUUUCUUAACAAUUUUGUUCAAAUAAAGUUAUACCUGA
Pantherophis guttatus is the source of this 855-nucleotide long non-coding RNA. RefSeq lists it as uncharacterized. Lineage: Eukaryota; Metazoa; Chordata; Lepidosauria; Squamata; Colubridae. The record is from RefSeq and is a predicted model, not a curated record.